Molecule: ribosomal RNA, 3165 nt
Filed under: Macaca mulatta (Rhesus monkey)
Lineage: Eukaryota; Metazoa; Chordata; Mammalia; Primates; Cercopithecidae
Description: eukaryotic LSU rRNA
Rfam family: Eukaryotic large subunit ribosomal RNA
Source: RNAcentral
ACUUUGGUACGACUGGGAAGGCCGGGCAGGGAAGGUGGCUCAGGGGGCCCUGUUCUCCCCGUCCCUCGGGAGAGGGGGUGGGGUGGGCUCUCCCGAGUGUUACACACCCCCAGCAGCAGCACUCCCUGAAUCCCAUGGAUGAGAGAGUGAGACCCGUUGCCGUGCUCGCCCCUUUCUGGCGCCCACUCUAAUGGGGGCUACCCAUGAAGGGUUCCCCAGUGGGGGUGUGACAGCGUCCCUCUAGGGGGCUGGGUCACUCCUCCCACGGUAUAACUGCUCUUCUGCCCCUUCCCUGCCCCCAGCGAGGAGGCCGCAUAGGAGGGGGUGGGGCUGACCGUGGUGUGCCCCAGGCUGGUUGUCCUGUCGGACCUGCGAGGUCUCUUCCACCAUGCACUCCUCCCAAAAGAACAGUGGAACGAGUUGGAAUCCCGAGGCCUCUCCAGUUUGCCGAGGGUGUAUCACCGGCCAGUCUUGUCAGUCGCGCUGCAGAGGUGGAGCAAGGGAACAUGUUGUUAGGCACCAAGAGAUGAUGAACUAUGCCUGGGCAGCAGGAAGCCAGAGGAAACGCUGGUGGAGGUCUGUAGCGGUCCUGACGUGUAAAUCGGUCGUCUGAUCUGGGUAUGGGGCAAAAGACUAAUCGAAACAUCUAGUAGAUGGUUCCCUUUGAAGUAAUUCCUAAGGAUAGCUGGCGCUUUGGCAAAAACCCCAUGCCACGCAGUUAUCCGGCAAAGCGAAUUGAUUAGUCUUGGGGCGGAAACAAUCUUAACCUAUUCUCAAACUUUAAAUGGGUAAGAAGCCCGGUUUGCUGGUGUGGAGCCGGUCAUGGAAUGCUGGUGCCUAGAGGGCCACUUUUGGUCAGCAGAACUGGUGCUAUUGGAUGAACUCAACGUGGUGUUAAGGUGCCUGAUGCUGAUGUUCAUCAUACCCCAGAAAACAGUGGACAGCAGGACAGUGGCCAUGGAAGUCAGAAUACACUAAGGAGUGUUUAACAACGAAUCAACUAGCCCUGAAAAAUGAAUGGUACUGAAGCAUUGGACCCAUAUCUGGCCGUUGCCAAUGGUUAAGAGUGGACGGGAGUGGUGAGGGUUGUUGCCCCCGCUGGAGUCCUGCGGAUGCUAUGCUACUAUGAGUAGGAGGGCCUCUGUGGCGAGACUUGAAGCCUAGGGCCUGAGCCUGGGUGGAGCUGCCUCAGGUGCAGAUCUUGUUGGUAGUAGCAAAUAUUCAAAUGAGAACUUUGAAGGAUGAAGUGGAGAAGGAUUCCAAUUGAACAUGGGUCAGUCGGUCCGGAGAAAUGGGCGUGUGCCCUUCCGAAGGGAUGGAUGAUGACUUCCGUUGCCCUCACCGAUGGAAAGGGAGUCAAGUUCAGAUUUCUGAAUCCAGAGUGACAGAGAUGGGCGCCAGUGAGGGGUUCAGGGAGGUAAUGCAACUGAUCCUGGAGAAGCUGGUGGGAGUCCAGGGGAGAGUUCUUUUGUGAAGGGCAGGGCACCCUGGAAUGGGCUUGCCCUGAGAGGGGCCUGUGCGUUGGAAAGCAAGGUGGUUCAGGCCCUUGAAAAUCUAGGGGAGAGGGUAUAAAUCUCACACCGGGCUGUAACCAUAUCCACAGCAGAUCUCCAAGGUGAACACUGUCUGGCAUGUUGGAACAAUGUAGGUAAGGGAAAUUGACAAGUGGGAUCGGUAAAUUCAGGACAAGGAUUUGUUUGCUCCGAGGGCUUCGCUGGUCCUGCUGGGGUGUGAAGCGGGGAUGGGUGCAGCCCUUGGCUGGAUGAGGCAGUGCUGCUCCUCCUCAGCACUAGGGGCACCCCUCUGCAGCCAUCCCCCACCCCACCUAUCUGCCUCUCCCCCAUCCCUCCCCCUUGCUAUUGCCAGUGCCUAGCAGCCAACUUAGAAUUGGUGCAGACCACGGGAAUCCGACUAUUUAAAACAAAGCAUGAUGAAGGCCAGUGGUGGCUGUUGACACUAUGUGAAUUCCGCCCAGUGCUCUGACUGUCAAAGUGAAGAAAUUCAGUGAAGCCACUGGUAAAGGACAGCAGUAACUAUGACUUUCUUAAGGUGCAGUCAAAUGCUUCCUCAUCUAAUUAGUGAGGCGUAUGAAUGGAUGAACGAGAUUCUCACUGUCCCUACCUGCUAUCCAGUGAAACCACAGCCAAAGGAAUGCGUUUGACUGAAUCAGCAGGGAAAGAAGACUCUGUUGAGACUGACUCCAGUCUGGCACGGUGAAGAGACAUGAGAGGUGCAGAAUAAGUGAAAAGCACCCAGCAGCCUUCUGUCACUAUGAGGGGAUGGGGUGGGGUCCACCCGCCUUGUGGGCUGCAGGUGAAAUGCCACUACCCUGAUCAUUUUUUCACUGACCUGGUGAGGGGGAAGGGGAUGAGCUACAAGGAACUCUCGUUUUUGGCGCCAAGCACUUGGCCACGUGCUGGCUUGGUGUGACCUGCUCCAGGAAUAGUAUCAGGUGCAGAGUUGGACUGGGGCGGUACACCUGUUGAAUGGUAAUGCAGGUGUAUGAAGGUGAGUACAGGGAAUACAGAAACCUCCCGUGGAACCGAAGGGCAGAAGCUCGCUUGCUCUUGAUUUUCAGUACAAAUACAGAUGAGAAAGUCAGAGCCUCACCAUUCUUCUAAACUUUGGGUUUUAAGCAGGGCAUGUCAAAAAAGAUACCGCAGGGAUAACUGCUUUGUAGCGGCCAAGAGUUCAUAGCGACGUCCCUUUUUGAUCCCUCAAUAUUGGCUCUUCCUAUUGUGAAGCAGAAUUCACCAUUCAAUGUUGGCUCUUCCUAUUUUGAAGCAGACUUCACCAAGCAUUGGAUGGUUCAUCCAAUAAUAGGGAACCUGAGCUGGGUUUAGAACAUCAUGAGACAGGAUAGUUUUACACAAGGUUCUUUUAGACAAGGGUCUUCCCAUCUUGGCCUCACAAGUACCUGGGACUACUGGGACCUUCUUUUUCUUUUUCUUUUCUAACCACAAUUUCAGUUUGUUUCCACAAUACUUAGAGUAACUUGCUAUAAUUUUUCUUUGUUCUUUUCUCUCUCUAUUCUCAUAUGCUCCUUCUUACACGCUGAAGUUGACCUUUGGUUUAUUUUUUGUCACAAUUCACACUGGUUGUAACAAACACACACACAUACAGAGAAGUUCUUAAUUGUGAUAUUAAUUACCUUUUAUUAUUGUU